GUGGGGAAUUUUGGACAUUGGGCGCAAGCCUGAUCCAGCAAUGCCGCGUGCAGGAUGAAGGCCUUCGGGUUGUAAACUGCUUUUGUACGGAACGAAACGGUCCUGGUUAAUACCUGGGGCUAAUGACGGUACCGUAAGAAUAAGCACCGGCUAACUACGUGCCAGCAGCCGCGGUAAUACGUAGGGUGCGAGCGUUAAUCGGAAUUACUGGGCGUAAAGCGUGCGCAGGCGGUGCUGUAAGACAGGCGUGAAAUCCCCGGGCUCAACCUGGGAAUUGCGCUUGUGACUGCAGUGCUGGAGUACGGCAGAGGGGGAUGGAAUUCCGCGUGUAGCAGUGAAAUGCGUAGAUAUGCGGAGGAACACCGAUGGCGAAGGCAGUCCCCUGGGCCUGUACUGACGCUCAUGCACGAAAGCGUGGGGAGCAAACAGGAUUAGAUACCCCUGUAGUCC
RNAcentral lists this ribosomal RNA (450 nucleotides) under uncultured bacterium. Its description in RNAcentral is "partial 16S ribosomal RNA". It matches the Rfam family "Bacterial small subunit ribosomal RNA", at positions 354 to 796 of the family's 1533-position model. The record is from RNAcentral.